Molecule: ribosomal RNA, 553 nt
Filed under: uncultured archaeon OS-32
Lineage: Archaea
Description: bacterial SSU rRNA
Rfam family: Archaeal small subunit ribosomal RNA
Source: RNAcentral
GCACCACAAGGGGUGAAGCCUGCGGUUUAAUUGGAGUCAACGCCGGGAAUCUUACCGGGAGCGACAGUAGAAUGAAGGCCAAGCUGACGACUUUGCUAGACAGACUGAGAGGAGGUGCAUGGCCGUCGCCAGUUCGUGCCGUGAGGUGUCCGGUUAAGUCCGGCAACGAACGAGACCCCCAUCCUUUGUUGCUAAGCUUUCUCUACGGAGGGAGCCGCACACGGAGGAGACUGCCAGUGUUAAACUGGAGGAGGGAGGGGGCUACGGCAGGUCAGCAUGCCCCGAAUCUCCCGGGCCACACGCGGGCUGCAAUGGCGAGGACAGCGGGUUCCAACCUCGAAAGGGGACGGUAAUCCCUUAAACCUCGCCGUAGUUGGGAUUGAGGGCUGUAACCCGCCCUCAUGAACAUGGAAUCCCUAGUAACCGCACGUCACCAUCGCGCGGUGAAUACGUCCCUGCUCCUUGCACACACCGCCCGUCGCUCCACCCGAGUCAAGUACGGGCGAGGUAUAGAUUCGUUGUCUGUAUCGAACCCAUGUUUGGCAAGGGGGGA